GAGGAAUAUUGGUCAAUGGGCGGAAGCCUGAACCAGCCAUGCCGCGUGCAGGAAGACGGCCCUACGGGUUGUAAACUGCUUUUCCGGGGGAAGAAUAAGGCCCACGUGUGGGCCGAUGCCGGUACCCCGGGAAUAAGGAUCGGCUAACUCCGUGCCAGCAGCCGCGGUAAUACGGAGGAUCCGAGCGUUAUCCGGAUUUACUGGGUUUAAAGGGUGCGUAGGCGGGCGCUUAAGUCAGCGGUGAAAUGCGGGGGCUCAACCUUCGAACGGCCGUUGAUACUGGGCGCCUUGGAUUCGGUCGAGGCGGGCGGAAUGCGACAUGUAGCGGUGAAAUGCUUAGAUAUGUCGCAGAACGCCGAUUGCGAAGGCAGCUCGCCGGGCCGAUAUUGACGCUGAGGCACGAAAGCGUGGGGAUCGAAC
RNAcentral lists this ribosomal RNA (420 nucleotides) under uncultured bacterium. RNAcentral describes it as "bacterial SSU rRNA". It matches the Rfam family "Bacterial small subunit ribosomal RNA", at positions 356 to 773 of the family's 1533-position model. The record is from RNAcentral.